Molecule: ribosomal RNA, 1382 nt
Filed under: uncultured bacterium
Lineage: Bacteria
Description: bacterial SSU rRNA
Rfam family: Bacterial small subunit ribosomal RNA
Source: RNAcentral
GAAUUCGCCCUUAGAGUUUGAUCCUGGCUCAGGACGAACGCUGGCGGCACGCCUAACACAUGCAAGUCGAACGGUGAAGAGGAGCUUGCUCCUCGGAUCAGUGGCGGACGGGUGAGUAACACGUGAGCAACCUGCCUUUCAGUGGGGGACAACAGUUGGAAACGACUGCUAAUACCGCAUAAUGUCAUUUUAGGGCAUCCUUUAAUGACCAAAGAUUUAUUGCUGAAAGAUGGGCUCGCGUCUGAUUAGAUAGUUGGUGAGGUAACGGCUCACCAAGUCGACGAUCAGUAGCCGGACUGAGAGGUUGAACGGCCACAUUGGGACUGAGACACGGCCCAGACUCCUACGGGAGGCAGCAGUGGGGGAUAUUGGACAAUGGGGGAAACCCUGAUCCAGCGAUGCCGCGUGAGGGAAGAAGGUUUUCGGAUUGUAAACCUCUGUGGACAGGGACGAUAAUGACGGUACCUGUUUAGAAAGCCACGGCUAACUACGUGCCAGCAGCCGCGGUAAUACGUAGGUGGCGAGCGUUGUCCGGAAUUACUGGGUGUAAAGGGAGUGUAGGCGGGAUUGCAAGUCAGAAGUGAAAAUUAUGGGCUCAACCUAUAACCUGCUUUUGAAACUGUAAUUCUUGAGUGAAGUAGAGGCAAGCGGAAUUCCUAGUGUAGCGGUGAAAUGCGUAGAUAUUAGGAGGAACACCAGUGGCGAAGGCGGCUUGCUGGGCUUUUACUGACGCUGAGGCUCGAAAGCGUGGGGAGCAAACAGGAUUAGAUACCCUGGUAGUCCACGCCGUAAACGAUGAUUACUAGGUGUGGGGGGCUAACCCUUCCGUGCCGGAGUUAACACAAUAAGUAAUCCACCUGGGGAGUACGACCGCAAGGUUGAAACUCAAAGGAAUUGACGGGGGCCCGCACAAGCGGCGGAGCAUGCGGAUUAAUUCGAUGCAACGCGAAGAACCUUACCAAGGCUUGACAUGAACCGGAAAGGCCUGGAAACAGGUCCCCCACUUGUGGCCGGUUUACAGGUGGUGCAUGGUUGUCGUCAGCUCGUGUCGUGAGAUGUUGGGUUAAGUCCCGCAACGAGCGCAACCCUCGUUCUAUGUUGCCAGCGGGUUAUGCCGGGGACUCAUAGGAGACUGCCGGGGUCAACUCGGAGGAAGGUGGGGACGACGUCAAAUCAUCAUGCCCCUUAUGUCUUGGGCUUCACGCAUGCUUCAAUGGCCGGUACAAAGGGUUGCGAUACUGUGAGGUGGAGCAAAUCCCUAAAAGCCAUCUCAGCUCGGAUUGCAGGCUGCAACUCGCCUGCAUGAAGCUGGAAUUGCUAGUAAUCGCGGAUCAGCAUGCCGCGGUGAAUACGUUCCCGGGCCUUGUACACACCGCCCGUCA